CGGGGUGUAGCGCAGUUCGGCUAGCGCACGUGCUUUGGGAGCAUGGGGCCGGGGGUUCAAAUCCCUCCACCCCGACCA
RNAcentral lists this transfer RNA (78 nucleotides) under Firmicutes bacterium ADurb.Bin182. RNAcentral's name for it is "tRNA-Pro". It matches the Rfam family "tRNA". Rfam says of the family: Transfer RNA (tRNA) molecules are approximately 80 nucleotides in length. Their secondary structure includes four short double-helical elements and three loops (D, anti-codon, and T loops). Further hydrogen bonds mediate the characteristic L-shaped molecular structure. tRNAs have two regions of fundamental functional importance: the anti-codon, which is responsible for specific mRNA codon recognition, and the 3' end, to which the tRNAs corresponding amino acid is attached (by aminoacyl-tRNA synthetases). tRNAs cope with the degeneracy of the genetic code in two manners: having more than one tRNA (with a specific anti-codon) for a particular amino acid; and 'wobble' base-pairing, i.e. permitting non-standard base-pairing at the 3rd anti-codon position. The record is from RNAcentral. Lineage: Bacteria; Bacillati; Bacillota.